RNAcentral lists this ribosomal RNA (406 nucleotides) under uncultured bacterium. RNAcentral's name for it is "partial 16S ribosomal RNA". It matches the Rfam family "Bacterial small subunit ribosomal RNA", at positions 30 to 526 of the family's 1533-position model. The record is from RNAcentral.
AUUGAACGCUGGCGGCAGGCCUAACACAUGCAAGUCGAACGAGUGGCGGACGGGUGAGUAAUGUCUGGGAAACUGCCCGAUGGAGGGGGAUAACUACUGGAAACGGUAGCUAAUACCGCAUACCAUCGGAUGUGCCCAGCGGGGCUUAGCUAGUAGGUGGGGUAACUGCUCACCUAGGCGACGAGCCCUCGCUGGUCUGAGAGGAUGAACAGCCACACUAGAACUGAGCCACGGUCCGGACGCCUACGCGAGGCAGGAGAGGGGAGUAUUGCACAAUGGGCGGAAGCCUGAUCCAGCCCUGCCGCGUGUAUGAAGAAGGCCUUCGGGUUUGAAAGUACUUGUGGUGAGGAGGCGUUACUCGAAGAAGAAGCAGCGGCUAACUCCGUGCCAGCCGCCGCGGUAAUUC